GCAAGUCGAACGAGAAUGGAUGGCGGUAGCAAUACCGUCGUCUUAGUAAAGUGGCGAACGGGUGAGUAACACGUAGCUAACCUGCCCUUCAGUGGGGGAUAACCCUGCGAAAGUAGGGCUAAUACCGCAUGAUGUCUCCGGAGCACAGGCCCCGGAGAGCAAAGCUUGUAAUGGCGCUGAUGGAGGGAGCUGCGGACGACUAGCUUGUUGGCGGGGUAACGGCCCACCAAGGCGACAAUCGUUAGCCGGCCUGAGAGGGCGCACGGCCACACUGGAACUGAAACACGGUCCAGACUCCUACGGGAGGCAGCAGUGGGGAAUUUUGCACAAUGCCCGAAAGGGUGAUGCAGCAACGCCGCGUGGAGGAUGAAGGUCCUCGGAUCGUAAACUCCUUUCGACCCGGAAGAAAUCCCGGUGAAGAGCCGGGUUUGACGGUACGGGGGGAAGAAGCCCCGGCAAACUACGUGCCAGCAGCCGCGGUAAUACGUAGGGGGCAAGCGUUGUUCGGAAUUACUGGGCGUAAAGGGCGUGUAGGCGGUUCGGUAAGUCUCGUGUGAAAUUUCCCCGCUUAACGGGGAAAAGUCGCGAGAAACUGCCGGGCUAGAGUGCGGAAGAGGGGAGCGGAAUUCCCGGUGUAGCGGUGAAAUGCGU
This 651-nucleotide ribosomal RNA is filed under the name uncultured bacterium. RNAcentral's name for it is "bacterial SSU rRNA". It matches the Rfam family "Bacterial small subunit ribosomal RNA", at positions 57 to 691 of the family's 1533-position model. The record is from RNAcentral.